RNAcentral lists this ribosomal RNA (440 nucleotides) under uncultured bacterium. Its description in RNAcentral is "partial 16S ribosomal RNA". It matches the Rfam family "Bacterial small subunit ribosomal RNA", at positions 338 to 795 of the family's 1533-position model. The record is from RNAcentral.
CCUACGGGAGGCAGCAGUGGGGAAUAUUGCACAAUGGGGGAAACCCUGAUGCAGCGACGCCGCGUGAGUGAAGAAGUAUUUCGGUGUGUAAAGCCCUAUCAGCAGGGAAGAAAAUGACGGUACCUGUCUAAGAAGCCCCGGCUAACUACGUGCCAGCAGCCGCGGUAAUACGUAGGGGGCAAGCGUUAUCCGGAUUUACUGGGUGUAAAGGGAGCGUAGGCGGCCAGACAAGUCAGAAGUGAAAGCCCAGGGCUCAACCCUGGGAGUGCUGUUGAAACUGCCGGGCUUGAGUGCAGGAGAGGUAAGCGGAAUUCCUGGUGUAGCGGUGAAAUGCGUAGAUAUUAGGAGGAACACCAGUGGCGAAGGCGGCUUACUGGACUUUAACUGACGUUGAGGCUCGAAAGCGUGGGGAGCAAACAGGAUUAGAUACCCCAGUAGUC